This is a long non-coding RNA of Chelonia mydas (Green sea turtle), 538 nucleotides long. RefSeq lists it as uncharacterized. NCBI's taxonomy places the organism in Eukaryota, Metazoa, Chordata, Testudines, Cheloniidae. The record is from RefSeq and is a predicted model, not a curated record. The transcript is spliced from 3 exons.
GUGGGGCCAAAAAUCCACAGGGAGGGACAUUCACCUCUGACUGGAAUAAUACCUACUGGUUUUCAUCCAGAGAUCUAAAAGCAUUUGACAAGUGUCAUUGUGGAAGAUCAUAAUGCCUCAGUAGUUAAAGGAAAAUGAGACAGGAACAAUAUAGUAGAUGCAUCUGGCAGGAUGGGGAAUAUUACAGCUGCGAGGCACAUAUGCCAGAAGGAAAUUAAGAACAAUACACAUCUGUCUUGAAGACUGGCACCUUUUAGAGCCAACAUUCUAAACAAAGGAACAGCAUGUUACAUGUUGCCUCAGCAUAACCAUGAAUGUAAAGUAAACAGCAGUUUGAUAUGUAGACACAACAUAUGCUGAGAAAAAGGCUCUGCUUAUGUUUGUUUCAAACUAUCUCAUGCAAACUUUUCUCUAAGUUUCUAUAGCUGAGUAGUGGGCCAUUAGCUGAGGUAGUGUGAUCAGUCCAGGGGUCCACUUUUAUGCAGUGGAAGGGAUCAUAAAAGCAUUUUAUGCAUUAUUUGUAUUUAGAGACAGGGAC